AUUGAACGCUGGCGGCAUGCCUUACACAUGCAAGUAGAACGGAGUGGCGGACGGGUGAGUAAUGUAUGGGACCCUGCCCAGUAGAGGGGGAUACCUACUGGAACGAGUGGCUAAUACCGCAUACACUUAGAGGGGCCGAUAUGGGAUUAGCUGGUUGGUGGGGUAACGGGUAACCAAGGCAACGAUCCAUAGCUGGUUUGAGAGGACGACCGGCAACACUGGGACUGUGACACGGCCCAGAUUCCUACGGGAGGCAGCAUUGGGGAAUAUUGGACAAUGGGGGAAACCCUGAUCCAGCCAUCCCGCGUGUAUGAUGAAGGCCUUCGGGUUGUAAAGUACUUUGGGCAGGGAGGCGGUACCUGCAGAAGAAGCACCGGCUAACUACGUGCCAGCAGCCGCGGUAAUAC
Molecule: ribosomal RNA, 407 nt
Filed under: uncultured bacterium
Lineage: Bacteria
Description: partial 16S ribosomal RNA
Rfam family: Bacterial small subunit ribosomal RNA
Source: RNAcentral